Mycena haematopus is the source of this 96-nucleotide non-coding RNA. NCBI's taxonomy places the organism in Eukaryota, Fungi, Basidiomycota, Agaricomycetes, Agaricales, Mycenaceae. The record is from the annotation of a GenBank genome assembly.
GGCCGCCUGGCGAAAUGGCAUCGCGUCUGACUACGAUUGGGACGUUAGACGAUGAACGUAAUCAGGAGAUUGCAGGUUCGACCCCUGCGGUGGUCA